AGAGGAAUAACAUUUGGAAACGAAUGGUAAUACCACAUAACAUUACGUUCUCGCAUGGGGAUGUAAUCAAAGAUUUAUCGCUGAGAGAUGGACUCGCGUCCGAUUAGCUGGAUGGUGAGGUAACGGCCCACCAUGGCGACGAUCGGUAGCCGGACUGAGAGGUUGAACGGCCACAUUGGGACUGAGACACGGCCCAGACUCCUACGGGAGGCAGCAGUGGGGAAUAUUGCACAAUGGGGGAAACCCUGAUGCAGCAACGCCGCGUGAAGGAAGACGGUCUUCGGAUUGUAAACU
Molecule: ribosomal RNA, 294 nt
Filed under: uncultured bacterium
Lineage: Bacteria
Description: partial 16S ribosomal RNA
Rfam family: Bacterial small subunit ribosomal RNA
Source: RNAcentral